This 65-nucleotide transfer RNA is filed under the name Dipodomys ordii (Ord's kangaroo rat). It matches the Rfam family "tRNA". Rfam says of the family: Transfer RNA (tRNA) molecules are approximately 80 nucleotides in length. Lineage: Eukaryota; Metazoa; Chordata; Mammalia; Rodentia; Heteromyidae. The record is from Rfam by way of RNAcentral.
GGUGGCUCAGUGUUAGAGCGCUUGCCUUGCAUGCAUGAAGCCCUGGGUUCAAUUCCUCAGCACCA